GCCUCAAGAGUUACAAGAUGUGAGACAGCUCCCUGAAGGAAUUUGCAAUCCAGUAAGAAGGCCAGGUUGAGUUUGGUUUCUGAAGAUACAUUUGGAAGAAGCCUAACCACUCCACAACAACAACCAAAAAAACAAGCAGCCCGGUUAAGAAAUGGGCAAAGGACUAGAACAGACAUCGUUCCAAAAAGAUAUACAAAUGGCCAAUAAGCACAGGAGAAGAUGCUUAACAUCACUGGUCGCUAGGGAAAGGCAAGCCAGAGCUACAGUGAGAUAUUUCUUCACACCCACGAGGAUGGCUCUGAUCAAAACACAAACAAACGGAAGACAGGUUAUUUGGGGAAUAAUGAUGUAAUGUUGAUGAGACCGUGGAGAAAUUGGAACAUUUGUGCCUUGCUGGUAGGAAUAUAAAAUGGUGCAGCUGCUGUGGAAAAGGGUAUGAUGAGUCCUCAAAAAAAGAAAAACAAUUACCAUGUGAUCCCAUAGUUCUGUUUCUGGAUAUGCAGCCAAAAGAAAUGAAAGCAGGGCCCCUAGUAGAUAUGUGCACACCCAUGUUCAUAGCAGCAUUAUUCACAACAGCCAAAAUGUGGGAUGUGCUCAAAACAAAUCAGGUAAAUAAGUGAAGUGAUACAUAAGUGAAUGAACGCGCUAUGAUUUAUUUUUAAUUCACAUGACAUCACAACGACAUGACAUCAUCAUCUCCUGGCAAAAAGCAAACAUUCCAGUCGGUGGUCCUUAACAGGCUGGCAAGUAUCAUGAAAGUUCAACACAACCUCUUACUUCGGGAAGCCAGGGGGUCCCUACGCGUUCACACUUGCCCAUUCAGCCCAGGAGAGUUUGUUUUCCCUGUGAGUGUGUGCUUCAAGUGUGACCUUUGAGGAGAAACACUGGGAAGGUAGAGGUGCUUUUCUUUGCACCAUCGACUGUUGCUUGCAUGCCCAGGCACUACCCCAGAGCCUCAUGGCGGACAUGGCAGUUGGGCAAAAGUAGACGUGACUUUGAGACCAGCCGUGAGCUUUCAUUCACUCCUUCACCAAGCCCUGACAAAUUCACAUCACAUAGAAUUCACCAUUUUA
This is a long non-coding RNA of Neofelis nebulosa (Clouded leopard), 1073 nucleotides long. RefSeq lists it as uncharacterized. The transcript has 3 exons. The record is from RefSeq and is a predicted model, not a curated record. NCBI's taxonomy places the organism in Eukaryota, Metazoa, Chordata, Mammalia, Carnivora, Felidae.